Molecule: long non-coding RNA, 3678 nt
Organism: Gossypium raimondii (Peruvian cotton)
Lineage: Eukaryota; Viridiplantae; Streptophyta; Magnoliopsida; Malvales; Malvaceae
Exons: 2
Source: RefSeq, a predicted model, not a curated record
UUAAGUUUUUCAUCUCAACUAAUUAAAUUAUGCUAGAUAUAUUAUUAUUAAAGAAAAUGAUGAUGUGGUUAGCUUGAAUGGGUUAACUUCGAAAAGCCAAAAAGCUUGGAGAAAAAAAAAAGCUAAUCCAUAUUUUUCAACAUUUGAUCCAUUUUUCAUUCAUUUCUUAGCAAUAUCUUGAUUUUCAAUUGUUAUGGAAGGAAAUGUGGACUCUAGUUUCUGUUAUUUUUAUGUUAUCUCCCUAGGCUUUUGGACUAUUGAUAAUGCGCAGCAUUUUGGUUCAACGAACCAUUAAUGAAACGAUGUGUUUUAGUCCAUCUUAUAAGCAUUAGGAAAUGGUGCAUUUUAUUAUGUUUUCUUAUGUUAAUGAAACAUUGUGUAUUGGAAGGAGGAUACAAUUGUUGAGUAAUAGCCACAGUAACCACUUUCCUAAUCGUUGCAUUAUUUCUCAUUUAAGUGAAAUGGUUAUAGGGAGAAAUAAUUAUGCAUUUAGUGGAAUAGAAUUUUGUUUCCUCUCUUUUCUCUCCCGAUUCUCUUCCUUCAUCUUCCCUCUCUCAGCUACUUUGCUAUCGUCUCUUUAGCUCUUCUAUAACAAAGGUAUCAGAGCUAAGUAAUCCUCCAUGGUUGGUGAAGGGGUGACCACCUGACUUCAAAAGGAAAUAGGCCACCUUCAGUAGAAAGUUGUUAAACUCCAGAUUGAGCUUUUCCAUUGGGACACAAAGUUCGACUCGCGCUUGAAGGAGCUUAGGGAAGAACUCAAGGGCGAGAUCUAGUCUAAAUUGCAGGCCUUGUUGAGCAAUAUUUGGGCCAUUCCUCUUCUGCUACUGCUACUGGGUCUUCCCAGGACAAAAGGAAAGAAAUUCUAGAGGGUUUUCCAUUUGGUUAUGAUUUUUUCUCCCAUGGUAGAUUUGGGAUGCAUGGGAACACCUUCGUGAAUGAGUCACUUGGAAGCUCUCUUAUGACCUUAUAAAAUUAAAUGUCCAAGGUUUGGUGGUACAGAUUUUCGAGGUUGGUGGUUAAAACUUGAGCAAUACUUUAAGGUUGAGGGUGUAAUCGGCAGUGCCAAAGUGAAAACUGUCAUGUCACACCUGGAAAGGAAGGUUCAUGACCGGCAUCAUUUCUAUACCCAGAAUUAAAAGGGGAUUUCACUUACUCACUUGGGAUAGUUAUGCUCAAAGUCUGAAAGAAAAGUUUGGUUCUAGUUCCUUCCUUGAUCCCAUGGCAAAAUUGGACUCUCUCAAGCAACAAGAUUUAGUAGACCAAUAUCAUGAUGUUUUUGUUGAAGUCGAAAAGAAAGGUAGAAGUGGUCCAAGACUCGUCCCAUCACAUCACCUGGCAUGGUAAAGAGAACAAGUUUGUAGUUUGAUGUUAGUAUUGCAUGUACAUAGGCUUAAAGUGUACAAGUUUAAACUUGAAAUUAAAAUGACGAGUUAAAACUCUUGAAAAUAUAAGACCACUUCAUAUUAAGCAAAAUAUUUUCUUUCUCAUUGCUAAAAAUAAAUCAUGAGGGUGACUAAAUAUUAUCAUUUGAAUUAAUUUAUUGCUUACUCAUAUACUAAAACAUAUGUAAAAAUAAUAAUACUUCUACCCAACAUAUCAUUAUAUUUCAAGUUGUAAAAGAUAAAAAUUUUAAAAUUUACAUUAGAGUUUUGUCAAAUUCUUUUGAGAUCAAUCUUUUCAUCCCUCGAAAAGCAUAUUGUAAAAAGUUCGUGCAUGGUGAGUACUAGAGGUGUUCAUAGGCUGGGCUGGGCCGAAUCUAAUUAAAAAUUUAGGCAUGUUCACUAGGCCAGCCCGUAUUAAUUUUUUAUAUUAUUUUUAAAUAUAUAUAAUACAUCAAAAAUACUAAAAAUAUCAAAAUAAAUAUUUUCAACAAAUUGAAAAUAAAUUUUAAAAAAUAUAUAUACUUAAAUAACACUAACAUAGAUGCAACUUAACAAGCCAAUGCCUCUAAAAUAGUAACAAAAUUAACAAAUGCCUCUAAAAUAAUAACAAAAUUAAUAAUAAAACAAGUUUUAUACAAUAUCGGAACAAUAACAACAAAAUAGUAACAAUAUAUAAUAGUAAAAUGAUACCAAAAUAGGGAGAAAACAACAAGCAAAUAGCAUUAAGAAAAAAUAUUUUUUUUUGUCCUUUGCUGAAUUUAGGCAAUGCCGAACCAAAAAUACCUUACUUAAGACCCAACCCAUUUUUUAAAUGAACCUUAUUAUUUUGUCUAAACUCAUUUUUCAGACCUAUAUUUUUUCUUAAACCUUCUCACAUUUUGGGCAAGCCUUCGAGCCGGACCAACAAUGUAGUGAGUACAAGAGAUUCAAUGUUUUAGAGCCAUAAUUUUUUAUUAUAAUUUAUGAUUACAAAUCAUUUCAGAAAUGAUUAAUUUCUGAUAAUUAAUUAAACAAUCCACUUCUUUCUGAUAAUUAAUUAAAUGACAAAUAUCAACCACAGCAAGAUAUCAAGUUGCGGUGAAACUCCUAAAUUUUUUAGUUACUUUCUCAAGAUUUUCACAUGAAUAACAGUUUCAAUAGUCUUUUUUUUUUUUUAAGUACAAAGGGAGCACGAGAUUGCAUCAACUGGAAAAAUAUAUCGAGUCUUUUUUCCAGAUAGAGAUCUAAUCUAAACAGUUUUAAGUUUUUUGGCUACCUAUGGUGCAAUCAAAACUGAUUUGGGAUAAGAGGUAAGGUUCCUCACCGGCAACAUUUGCUGGCCAAACUAGCAGUGCUUUUAGUGACAAUACUAGCUCAUAUAUGCUUUAAUUUGGCAAACGAGUACACUUAACCUAAUCCAUUUUCUGGAAAAUCAAAUAAAAAUGAUCCUACAGCCACAUGCAAUUUAAACUGUAGAUAAGAUUUACUGCAUAGAUUAGGAUUCCAAGACAAUCUAUUGGCCUUUGGGAAAAAUGCAUCUAAUCCAUUGCCAAUAAUAAUAGGAAUUCUAGAAAACAAAAUGGUUUACUCUGAACCAAACCAUUAAGAGUACAAGGUAAGCGCACCAAAAACCACCAAAACAUAUCACAAUAAAAUUAAAGAGAAAAACACUAUUUAGCAGUAUCUUGCCCUUCUUCUGCUGCAGCUUCAAAAGUCUCACCAGGAACAAGAUCUGGUACCUCCUCAUCAUCCUCUUCCUGAGUGACAACUGCACCAGUACCGGUACCAUCACCAGCACCAGGUGCCUGCUUCUGGAAUUGCUCUGCCAAUUUCCUCAAGUUGUCCAAGUUAUCAGGUCCUAUAAGUUAUAGAAUAAGGGUCAAAACAGCCGAUAUCAAUUUACAAUCACCAAAAAAGGAAACACAACUGUUCAGGGUCAAGUGCACAUACCCAACUGGUUGAUGAUUCCAGGGAGAAUAUCCUGCAAUUCUGGAAAUCAGGAAAACACACGUCAGAUCAACAAAGGUAAUGAUGCCUUUUGAGUUAAAUUUCCUUUUUAUCAAAUAUGGGAGCCUUUAAAGUUAAGAGAUGCAUACUCUUUGUCUGAGGAGAGCCACUAACAACCCAGGUGUUCGCAGCAAUAGAAGCUUGAACUGAUAUAUAGACCAUCACAUGUUAGUUUAUUGUGCAAAAAUCUUUUGAGAAUAUUGUUUGAAUAUUAAGUAUGAAUCAUAGUUCAAAUACACGCAGUCCACUUCAAAAAAGCUGUAUCUACCUUUGGGAUUAAUAAACUGGAUAACAACAUCAUCCUUGAAUA